AAUGAACGCUGGCGGCAUGGCUAAGACAUGCAAGUCGAACGAUACGGUCAAUUGGGUAACCGAGAGAUCGUAUAGUGGCGAAAGGGUGCGGAAUAGAUAGGUAACGUACUUCGGGCUUCGGGAUAGCGUUUCGAAAGGAACGGUAAUACCGGAUGAUAUCAGUAAUUGUAAGAUUGCUGAUCAAAGAUUUAUCGGCCUGAAAGCGGCCUAUCUCCUAUCAGCUAGUUGGUGAGGUAACGGCCCACCAAGGCGACGACGGGUAGCGGGACUGAGAGGUUGACCCGCCACAUCGGGACUGAGACACUGCCCGGACCUCCACGGAGGGCUGCAGUAACGAAUAUUGGGCAAUGGGCGAAAGCCUGACCCAGCGAUGCCGCGUAUAGGAUGAAGUUCUUCGGAAUGUAAACUAUUGUCAGGGGCUAGAAAGCCGCAAGGUUGAUCAGCCCCGGAGGAAGUCACGACUAACUUCGUG
This 472-nucleotide ribosomal RNA is filed under the name uncultured organism. Its description in RNAcentral is "bacterial SSU rRNA". It matches the Rfam family "Bacterial small subunit ribosomal RNA", at positions 29 to 507 of the family's 1533-position model. The record is from RNAcentral.